UUGCUGUGAUGAUAAUAAACUCUAGGUGAAAGCUUGUCUUGAUGAGACAUUGACAUUUAGUCAAUCUGAGCGGUUACCUGAGCAA
This 85-nucleotide small nucleolar RNA is filed under the name Eucalyptus grandis. Its description in RNAcentral is "small nucleolar RNA snoR128". It matches the Rfam family "small nucleolar RNA snoR128". Lineage: Eukaryota; Viridiplantae; Streptophyta; Magnoliopsida; Myrtales; Myrtaceae. The record is from Rfam by way of RNAcentral.